RNAcentral lists this long non-coding RNA (202 nucleotides) under Elaeis guineensis (African oil palm). RNAcentral describes it as "long non-coding RNA (EGUI_LNC045877)". The record is from RNAcentral. Lineage: Eukaryota; Viridiplantae; Streptophyta; Magnoliopsida; Arecales; Arecaceae.
UCUCGAUUAGAAGGUAAUGAUUUAGUUGAUGAUAUAUUAAAAAUCUUUUUCUAAUUAUCAUUCUACUUUGGCCAAAGACUUUCAAAUCAAUGACCUAUGAGAUCAUAUAGGAUGUUUGCUCUCCUUAUUAAGAGUGACUGAUCUCUUAUUGAUCACUCACAAUCUCUAUGUACUCUUCACCAUAUUUAGAACACCCCACACA